Molecule: ribosomal RNA, 484 nt
Filed under: uncultured bacterium
Lineage: Bacteria
Description: partial 16S ribosomal RNA
Rfam family: Bacterial small subunit ribosomal RNA
Source: RNAcentral
AUUGAACGCUGGCGGCAUGCUUUACACAUGCAAGUCGAACGGCAGCGCGGGCUUCGGCCUGGCGGCGAGUGGCGAACGGGUGAGUAAUGCAUCGGAACGUGCCCAGAAGUGGGGGAUAGCCCGGCGAAAGCCGGAUUAAUACCGCAUACGACCUGAGGGUGAAAGCGGGGGACCGAAAGGCCUCGCGCUAUUGGAGCGGCCGAUGUCGGAUUAGCUAGUUGGUGGGGUAAAGGCUUACCAAGGCGACGAUCCGUAGCUGGUCUGAGAGGACGACCAGCCACACUGGGACUGAGACACGGCCCAGACUCCUACGGGAGGCAGCAGUGGGGAAUUUUGGACAAUGGGGGCAACCCUGAUCCAGCCAUGCCGCGUGCGGGAAGAAGGCCUUCGGGUUGUAAACCGCUUUUGUUCGGGAAGAAAUCCUCUGGGCUAAUACCCCGGGGGGAUGACGGUACCGGAAGAAUAAGCACCGGCUAACUACGUG